This is a small nuclear RNA of Oreochromis aureus, 187 nucleotides long. Its record names the gene U2. It matches the Rfam family "U2 spliceosomal RNA". Rfam says of the family: U2 is a small nuclear RNA (snRNA) component of the spliceosome (involved in pre-mRNA splicing). Complementary binding between U2 snRNA (in an area lying towards the 5' end but 3' to hairpin I) and the branchpoint sequence (BPS) of the intron results the bulging out of an unpaired adenosine, on the BPS, which initiates a nucleophilic attack at the intronic 5' splice site, thus starting the first of two transesterification reactions that mediate splicing. Lineage: Eukaryota; Metazoa; Chordata; Actinopteri; Cichliformes; Cichlidae. The record is from Ensembl.
AGGCCAUCGCCGGCCUUUUGGCUAAGAUCAAGUGUAGUAUCUGUUCUUAUCAGUUUAAUAUCUGAUACGCCCGAUUCGGGGCAACGAUAAACGCAUUUUUAGAACAGGGAGCUGAAUAAGGGGCUCGCUCCGUUCGCUCCACGCAUCGACCGGUAUUGCAGCGCCUCCGGGAAACGGUGCCCCUUUG